Non-coding RNA from Hydra vulgaris (swiftwater hydra), 683 nucleotides. The record is from RefSeq and is a predicted model, not a curated record. Lineage: Eukaryota; Metazoa; Cnidaria; Hydrozoa; Anthoathecata; Hydridae.
CCUAUAAUUGAACAUACCGAGAAAAAUUACAGAGUUAAUUUGAAGACUUUCAAAACAGGUUUAAAGAACAGUAUCCAAAAGAAAAAUGUUCUUACCAUUUUCAAGAUCGAUUAAAUGUCUACCAACUUUUAGUAUUUCUAGUAAUGCUGGUGGAGCUUGAUACACAUUUUGGUUAAUGGCUUGGCUAUGUCCCAUAUGUUGGUAAAAAAGCUCUCUUUCUUGUGGUGGUAAAUUCAACAUUGCAAAUAGAGUGCUUACUCUGCGACGAUUAGAUGUUGCAUGGAUUAAGAAAGACCGGGCGUCAACAUUUGCUAACACAAGUCAAUUUGAGGCAAUCAAACCGGAAUGAAUCAAAACACAACAACAAAAAGAAUUCGGAGAUAAAUAAACUUAGACAAACUUAGAGAAAAUCUACAACAUAAAUAUACUAAAUUUUUAAAAUAUCUGCUGAAAAUUGAUAUUUGACUGAUUGCCGUGUUACUAUUUAAGAGAUUGUGAUACUAGUCUUUUUUAGCAAUAUGCGUUAUUAGAUUUAUUCAUAAAUAUUACAUAUCAUCAUUACGCGUUAUAAAUGCGUUGAAAAAAAUCAGAAGAAAUGCCUCACCGGCAAACAAGUUGUCAUUUUUAUAUAAUACAUGAAAAACCUGUCAGCAAAUUUAUGUCUUUAAUUUUUAGCAGAAUUA